This 249-nucleotide ribosomal RNA is filed under the name uncultured bacterium. RNAcentral describes it as "partial 16S ribosomal RNA". It matches the Rfam family "Bacterial small subunit ribosomal RNA", at positions 524 to 777 of the family's 1533-position model. The record is from RNAcentral.
UACGUAGGGUGCAAGCGUUGUCCGGAAUUAUUGGCGUAAAGAGCUCGUAGGCGGUCUGUCGCGUCGGCUGUGAAAACCCGGGCUCAACCCCGGCCUGCAGUCGAUACGGGCAGACUAGAGUGCGGUAGGGGAGACUGGAAUUCCUGGUGUAGCGGUGAAAUGCGCAGAUAUCAGAGGAACACCGUGGCGAAGGCGGGUCUCUGGGCCGUAACUGACGCUGAGGAGCGAAAGCGUGGGGAGCGAACAGGA